GUCUGAUGUCUAUCUGAUAUCACUAUUCCAUAAAUUUUUUUCGAAUAUGAAUACAAGAUUUACACAAAUGAAUUAAUCCCAAUAUGAAUUGAAUAUAUACAGGUGAAAUGUCCACUAUUGGUCGUGUGAGAAAUAUCACGUCUCAACUUACGACAUUUCACUAUAAAGUUUCCAGAAUAGAUUAAUUCCACGGAAAACUGGGUUC
Molecule: long non-coding RNA, 205 nt
Filed under: Mytilus galloprovincialis (Mediterranean mussel)
Lineage: Eukaryota; Metazoa; Mollusca; Bivalvia; Mytilida; Mytilidae
Source: RNAcentral